Molecule: ribosomal RNA, 1487 nt
Filed under: uncultured bacterium
Lineage: Bacteria
Description: bacterial SSU rRNA
Rfam family: Bacterial small subunit ribosomal RNA
Source: RNAcentral
AGAGUUUGAUCCUGGCUCAGGAUGAACGCUAGCGGCAGGCUUAACACAUGCAAGUCGAGGGGCAGCGAGGGUAGCAAUACCUGUCGGCGACCGGCGCAAGGGUGCGUAACGCGUGAGCAACAUGCCCGUAUCAGGGGGAUAAUCCAGGGAAACUUGGUCUAAUACCCCAUAGUAAUAUUUUCAGGCAUCUGGGGAUAUUUAAAGCUUUGGUGGAUACGGAUUGGCUCGCGUGACAUUAGCUGGAUGGUAGGGUAACGGCCUACCAUGGCUACGAUGUCUAGGGGUUCUGAGAGGAAGAUCCCCCACACUGGAACUGAGACACGGUCCAGACUCCUACGGGAGGCAGCAGUGAGGAAUAUUGGACAAUGGAUGGAAAUCUGAUCCAGCCAUGCCGCGUGCAGGAAGACGGCCCUAUGGGUUGUAAACUGCUUUUAUACGGGAGCAAUAAGGUCUAUGCGUAGGCCGAUGAGAGUACCGUAGGAAUAAGCACCGGCUAACUCCGUGCCAGCAGCCGCGGUAAUACGGAGGGUGCAAGCGUUAUCCGGAUUUAUUGGGUUUAAAGGGUGCGUAGGCGGUCUAUUAAGUCAGCGGUGAAAGUUUUCAGCUUAACUGGAAAAAUGCCGUUGAUACUGAUAGGCUAGAAUAUGGUUGCUGUGGGUGGAAUGUGUGGUGUAGCGGUGAAAUGCUUAGAUAUCACACAGAAUAUCAAUUGCGAAGGCAGCUCACAAAGCCAUUAUUGACGCUGAGGCACGAAAGUGUGGGGAUCAAACAGGAUUAGAUACCCUGGUAGUCCACACCGUAAACGAUGAUAACUCGCUGUCGGCGAUAAACAGUCGGUAGCCAAGCGAAAGCGAUAAGUUAUCCACCUGGGGAGUACGACCGCAAGGUUGAAACUCAAAGGAAUUGACGGGGGCCCGCACAAGCGGAGGAACAUGUGGUUUAAUUCGAUGAUACGCGAGGAACCUUACCCGGGCUCGAACGGUGCAGGAAUAUGUCAGAGAUGUCAUAGCUAGCAAUAGUCUGUAUCGAGGUGCUGCAUGGUUGUCGUAGGCUCGUGUCGUGAGAUGUUGGGUUAAGUCCCGCAACGAGCGCAACCCUUGCCAUUAGUUGCUACGAAAGGGCACUCUAAUGGGACUGCCGGUGACAAACCGGAGGAAGGUGGGGAUGACGUCAAGUCCUCAUGGCCCUUAUAGGUGGGGCUACACACGUCAUACAAUGGCUGGUACAAAGGGUUGCCAACCCGCGAGGGGGAGCUAAUCCCACAAAGCCAGUCGUAGUCCGGAUCGUAGUCUGCAACUCGACUACGUGAAGUCGGAAUCGCUAGUAAUCGUGGAUCAGAAUGUCACGGUGAAUACGUUCCCGGGUCUUGUACACACCGCCCGUCACACCAUGGGAGCGGGUUCUGCCAGAAGUAGUUAGCCUAACCGCAAGGAGGGCGAUUACCACGGCAGGGUUCGUGACUGGGGUGAAGUCGUAACAAGGUAACC